CGUCUAUAUACGUAUAGCAUAUCAAUAAGCGGAGGAAAAGAAACUAACAAGGAUUCCCUUAGUAACGGCGAGUGAAGCGGGAAGAGCUCAAAUUUGAAAUCUUCAAGGUUCUACCUUGACGAAUUGUAGUUUAAAGAAGUGUUUUCUGUUAGAGGAGUGGCAAAAGUUCCUUGGAAUAGGGACAUCAUAGAGGGUGAGAAUCCCGUAUUUGGUUAUUCUUUCUAGCUUUGUGAUACACUUUCAAAGAGUCGGAUUGUUUGGGAAUGCAGUCCAAAAUGGGUGGUAAAUUUCAUCUAAAGCUAAAUAUUGGCGAGAGACCGAUAGCGAACAAGUACCGUGAGGGAAAGAUGAAAAGAACUUUGAAAAGAGAGUUAAACAGUACGUGAAAUUGUCAAAAGGGAAGCGUUUGACACCAGUGUUGUUUUUCCGAAAAUCAAUUAAGAGUGGCUUGAUUUUGUGUUGUAUUGACCUUAUCAGCUUUCUUCACUCUUUUUCGAGUCUUUCUUAAUGCACUUUUCGGUUAACAAGUCAACAUCAAUUUCUUUUGUUGUAAAAGGGUAUUUGGAAGGUGGCUUUCUUUUCGGAGAAAGUGUUUAUAGCCUUAUACCUCUACAAUCGGAGAGAUUGAGGUCUGCAGCGUAGAUCCUUCGGGGCUAGAUACACUUGUGCUAAGUUAUAGCUUUUCAUAGACAACUUGUUGACUAUGUUUAGUCAUGUAGCUUACCCGCUUGUGCUAUUUUACCUACGCUUAGGAUGUUGAGUCAUCACACAUCUCU
This 776-nucleotide ribosomal RNA is filed under the name uncultured Neocallimastigales. RNAcentral describes it as "partial large subunit ribosomal RNA". It matches the Rfam family "Eukaryotic large subunit ribosomal RNA", at positions 26 to 618 of the family's 3401-position model. The record is from RNAcentral. Lineage: Eukaryota; Fungi; Neocallimastigomycota; Neocallimastigomycetes; Neocallimastigales.